This 121-nucleotide ribosomal RNA is filed under the name Octodon degus (degu). Lineage: Eukaryota; Metazoa; Chordata; Mammalia; Rodentia; Octodontidae. The record is from RNAcentral.
GUCUGCAGCUAUACCACCCUGAAUGCGCCCAAGCUUGUCUGAGCUCAAGCUAAGCAGGGUCGGGCCUGGUUAGUACUUGGAUGGGAGAUAAAAUGUUUUCCUUGCAUGGUCAUUUCUGACU